AUGUCCAUGUCCAGCGGCGGCCCGUCGGCGCCGCAGCGCCAGCCCUCCAUGGGUAGGCGGAACAUCUCCCGGGCAAUCACCAUGAGGACGGAUGGAUACUCCGGCGAGGAGGAAGGACCCAUCAUAGAGAGCGAGCUCGUGCCAUCCUCCCUCGCGCCCAUCGUGCCCAUUCUCCGUGCGGCCAACGAGAUCGAGGACGAAAACCCGCGCGUCGCAUACCUCUGCCGUUUUACUGCAUUCGAGAAGGCGCACACCAUGGAUCCAAACUCAAGUGGCCGUGGAGUCCGGCAGUUCAAAACCUAUCUCUUGCAUAGGCUGGAAAAGGAUGAAAAAGAUACACAACGCAGGCUUGCAUCAACUGAUGCAAAAGAGAUUCAGAGGUUCUAUGAACACUAUUGUAAAAAAUAUCUUGAGGAGGGUCUUCAAACGAGAAAGCCGGAUGAGAUGGCUAGAUACUAUCAGAUUGCAUCUGUCCUAUAUGAUGUGUUAAAAACUGUGACACCUGACAAGCCUAACUCCGAGUAUGACCAGUAUGCUAAAGGUGUUGAAAAGGAGAAAGCUUCCUUCUCACAUUACAACAUUUUGCCCCUUAAUAUUUCUGGUCCCACACAACCUGUAAUGGAAAUACCUGAGAUAAAAGCAGCAGUGGCCCUUCUUCGCAAGAUAAACAAUCUUCCAACGCCAAGGCCAGAUACGACUAACGGGCCUCAAGGGAUAGAUGAUGGACCUAUUGUUCGUGACUUGCUUGAUUGGCUCUGGCAAACAUUUGGAUUUCAGAAAGGUAACGUGGAAAACCAAAAGGAGCAUUUGAUUUUGCUGCUUGCUAACAUAGAUAUGAGAGGAAGUGGCAAUGUCCACCAGGGUGAAAGACAAAAUCACAUGAUACAGCGUGAUACAGUGGAUCACUUGAUGAAAAAAGUCUUUCAAAACUACAUUUCAUGGUGUCGGUAUCUGCAUUUGGAGUCAAACAUCAAAAUUCCACAUGAUGCCUCGACACAACAACCAGAGCUUCUUUACAUCGGGUUGUAUUUGCUGAUAUGGGGUGAAGCUUCUAAUGUUCGCUUUAUGCCUGAAUGCCUUUGUUAUAUCUUCCACCAUAUGGCAAGGGAUUUAUAUGACAUAAUAUCUGAUAGACGAGAAGAGUCAUUUGACCCACCCUUCCGGCGAGAGGGGAGUGAUGAUGCAUUUCUACAGUUGGUUAUCCAACCAAUCUACAAUGUUAUUCAUAAUGAAGCUACAAUGAGUAAGCGUGGUACUGUGAGCCACUCGAAGUGGAGAAACUAUGAUGACCUGAAUGAAUAUUUUUGGUCGAAGAAAUGCUUCAAACAACUUGGAUGGCCAAUGGAUCCAGCCUCUGACUUUUUUGCAGAUCCUACGAAAACUAAAAAUGACAUUGAGCGGCACGAUCAUUCGAUGAGCAGACGGAGGAUGUCCAAAACAAAUUUUGUUGAAGUUCGUACAUUUUUGCAUCUCUUCAGAAGUUUUGAUCGAAUGUGGGCCUUUUUCAUAUUAGCUUUCCAGGCCAUGGUAAUUAUUGCAUGGAGCCCUUCUGGAUCACUUUCUGCUAUAUUCGAGCCAGCUGUUUUCAGAAAUGUUAUGACAAUAUUUAUAACAGCUGCAUUUCUAAACUUCCUUCAGGCCACACUUGAGAUAGUUCUUAACUGGAAGGCUUGGAGGAGCCUGGUGUGCUCGCAGAUGAUACGGCAUGUCCUUAAAUUUGUUGUAGCUAUUGGCUGGUUGAUAAUUCUUCCAGUGACGUACUCCAGUUCCAUCCAAAAUCCCACAGGCCUUAUCAAGUUCUUCAGCAAUUGGAUUGGAAAUUUCCAGAGUCAAUCGAUAUAUAAUUUUGCAGUUGCUCUUUACAUGCUGCCGAACAUUUUCAGUGCCUUGUUUUUCAUAUUUCUACCAAUGCGAAGGGCACUAGAGCGUUCAAAUUCUCGCAUUGUUAGAUUUCUUUUGUGGUGGACGCAGCCAAAAUUAUAUGUCGCCCGAGGCAUGUAUGAGGACACAUGUUCACUUCUUAAGUACACGACAUUCUGGAUUCUAUUGCUUAUAUGCAAGCUCGCCUUCAGUUAUUACGUUGAGAUUUCUCCUCUCGUUGGACCUACCAGGACAAUUAUGUUUUUGGGACGGGGGAAAUACAUCUGGCACGAGUUCUUUCCAUACUUGCAGCAUAAUUUAGGUGUUGUUUUUACUAUAUGGGCACCAAUUGUCAUGGUAUACUUAAUGGAUACGCAAAUAUGGUACGCUAUUUUUUCAACAAUAUGUGGUGGAGUAAAUGGUGCCUUCAGCCGCUUGGGUGAGAUACGAACCCUUGGGAUGUUAAGAUCAAGAUUCGAGGCAAUCCCAACAGCGUUUGGUAAACAUCUUGUGCCUGGACAUGGUAGUCAACCAAAGAGACGUGAGCGUGAGAAGGAGGACAAAAAUUUGCAUAUUGAUAAGUUCUCCGACAUAUGGAAUGCAUUUAUUAUCUCUUUGCGAGAUGAAGACUUGAUAAACAAUAGGGAGAGAGAUUUAUUGAUUGUUCCAUCAUCUGCGGGUGACACUAGCGUUUUUCAAUGGCCUCCUUUCCUUCUCGCUAGCAAGAUUCCAAUGGCACUUGAUAUGGCAAAGAGCGUCAAGAAAAGGGAUGAAGAACUACGGAAGAGGAUAAACCAGGAUCCAUACACCUUUUAUGCCGUAAUAGAGUGUUAUGAGACUUUGUUAAAUAUUCUGUACAGCCUUAUGGCAGAAACAAGUGAUAAGAAAGUUGUUGAUCGAAUACGUGAAAGUCUUGAAGAUAGCAUAGAACGUCAGUCACUUGUGAGGGAAUUCCGAUUGGAUGAACUUCCUCAGCUAAGUGCUAAGUUCGAUAAGCUGCUAACUCUACUAUUGAAAACUGAAGAGGAGCAUGACACAACAAUAAAAACACAGAUUGCCAAUCUAUUACAAGAUACAAUGGAAAUCAUUACACAGGAUAUCAUGAAGAAUGGACAAGGUAUUUUGAAGGAUGAAAAUAGAGACAAUCAACUGUUUGCAAAUCUGAAUCUGGACUCAAUAAAGGAUGAAGCUUGGAGGGAGAAGUGUGUUAGGCUUCAGUUGUUGCUGACAACGAAAGAAUCUGCAAUUUAUGUGCCAACGAACUUGGAAGCUCGGCGCAGGAUCACUUUCUUUGCGAACUCACUAUUUAUGAAAAUGCCAAGGGCUCCACAGGUCCGCAGCAUGAUGUCCUUCAGUGUUCUAACUCCUUACUUCAAAGAGGAGGUGCUCUUUUCGACAGAAGAUCUGCAUGAAAAAAAUGAGGACGGGAUUUCUAUCCUGUUCUAUUUACGGAAAAUAUAUCCAGAUGAAUGGAAGAAUUGUCUUGAGCGCAUAAAAUUUGUACCAAAGGAUGAGGAGUCCCUUAAAUCAAGGAUGGAUGAGAUCUCACCCUGGGCAUCUUAUAGGGGACAAACGCUCACCAGAACUGUGAGAGGAAUGAUGUACUACAGGAGGGCGCUUGAGAUUCAAUGUAUUCAAGAUAAAAUUGAUAUUGCUAAAUUGGACCGCCAGAGAACAACAACAUCCUAUCAAGAGGGUGGAAACAUUGUAGAUAUGGCACUUGCCAUUGCUGAUAUCAAAUUCACCUAUGUUGUGUCUUGUCAAGUAUAUGGCAUGCAAAAGGUGUCCAAGAAUCUCAAAGAUAAAGCUUGCUAUCUGAACAUCCUUAACCUCAUGAUAAUGUACCCGUCCUUACGGAUUGCUUAUAUUGAUGAGGUAGAAGCUCCGACCAAAAAUGGAACAACAGAGAAGACUUAUUAUUCUGUUCUUGUCAAAGGAGUGGGUGAAAAGUAUGAUGAGGAAAUUUACCGCAUCAAGCUUCCUGGCAAACCCACAGAUAUUGGAGAGGGCAAACCUGAAAAUCAAAAUCAUGCCAUAAUUUUCACCAGGGGAGAAGCACUCCAGGCCAUUGAUAUGAAUCAGGAUAAUUACCUUGAAGAGGCAUUUAAAAUGAGAAAUGUGCUGGAGGAGUUCGGGAGUGACAAAUAUGGAAAGAGCAAGCCCACUAUAUUAGGUCUUCGGGAGCAUAUUUUUACUGGAAGUGUUUCAUCACUUGCUUGGUUUAUGUCAAACCAAGAGACCAGCUUUGUUACGAUUGGACAGCGUGUUUUGGCCAAUCCUCUCAAGGUUCGGUUCCAUUAUGGCCAUCCUGAUAUUUUUGAUAGACUCUUCCAUAUUACUAGGGGAGGCAUAAGUAAAGCUUCCAAGACUAUAAAUUUAAGCGAAGAUAUCUUUUCAGGUUUUAAUUCAACAAUGAGGGAAGGAAAUAUCACACAUCAUGAGUAUAUGCAAGUCGGUAAAGGACGUGAUGUGGGGAUGAACCAAAUUUCAAGCUUUGAAGCUAAGGUUGCCAAUGGAAAUGGUGAACAAACAUUGAGUCGUGACAUCUAUCGUCUUGGACGCAGAUUUGACUUCUAUAGAAUGCUGUCUUUCUACUUCACUACAGUUGGCUUUUAUUUCAGUAGCAUGGUUACUGUACUUACAGUCUAUGUAUUUUUGUAUGGGAGGUUAUAUCUCGUCAUGAGUGGUCUGGAAAAGUCUAUUUUGCUGGAUCCACGUAUUAAGGAGGACAUCAAGCCUCUUGAAAAUGCACUCGCUUCACAGUCUGUUUUCCAGCUUGGGUUGCUGCUUGUCCUCCCUAUGGUCAUGGAAGUUGGCUUAGAGAAGGGAUUCCGCACAGCUUUAGGAGAGUUCAUCAUCAUGCAGCUUCAGUUGGCCUCUGUGUUCUUCACAUUCCAGCUUGGCACCAAAACACACUACUAUGGGCGAACAAUACUCCAUGGUGGGGCUAAAUACAGACCUACAGGCCGUGGAUUUGUUGUGUACCACGCUAAGUUUGCUGAUAAUUAUCGCAUGUACUCCCGAAGCCACUUUGUUAAAGGACUUGAGCUGUUAAUACUUCUGGUUGUAUAUCUGGCCUAUGGGAAAUCCUACCGCAGCACGAGCCUGUACCUAUUUGUCACCUUCUCCAUAUGGUUCCUGGUGGCAUCUUGGCUAUUUGCACCAUUUAUCUUCAAUCCGUCAUGCUUUGAGUGGCAGAAGACGGUUGAUGACUGGACAGAUUGGAGGAAAUGGAUGGGUAACCGUGGGGGUAUCGGUAUGUCUGUGGAUCAAAGCUGGGAGGCUUGGUGGAUAGGUGAGCAGGAGCACCUCAGGAAAACCAGCAUUCGCGCUCUUGUCUUGGAAAUCCUCCUCUCUCUUCGUUUCUUGAUCUACCAGUAUGGUAUAGUGUAUCAUCUCAACAUUGCACGCCGCAGCACAAGCAUCCUGGUUUAUGGAUUGUCAUGGCUGGUUAUGCUGACGGUUCUAGUAGUUUUGAAGAUGGUUUCAAUAGGACGGCAGAAAUUUGGGACAGACUUGCAGCUUAUGUUCCGUAUCCUGAAGGGCCUUCUCUUUCUUGGCUUUAUCUCUGUGAUGUCAGUCCUAUUUGUUGUAUGCAGCCUCACGAUUUCAGAUGUCUUCGCUAGUAUUCUUGGGUUCCUACCAACUGGUUGGUGUAUUCUUCUGAUUGGGCAGGCAUGCGCUCCACUGAUUAAGAAGACUACGCUGUGGGACUCCAUCAUGGAGCUAGGGAGGGCAUACGACAACAUCAUGGGUCUUGUUCUCUUCCUUCCCAUCGGCUUCUUGUCGUGGUUUCCCUUCGUCUCAGAGUUCCAGACACGGUUGCUCUUCAACCAAGCCUUCAGCCGGGGCCUCCAGAUCUCAAGGAUCCUUGCCGGCCAGAAGGACAUUGGGGAGUUCGAGUGA
Molecule: ribosomal RNA, 5766 nt
Filed under: Triticum aestivum (bread wheat)
Lineage: Eukaryota; Viridiplantae; Streptophyta; Magnoliopsida; Poales; Poaceae
Description: partial small subunit ribosomal RNA
Source: RNAcentral